AGAGUUUGAUCAUGGCUCAGAUUGAACGCUGGCGGCAUGCCUUACACAUGCAAGUCGAACGCGAAAGGGGGCAACCCCGAGUAGAGUGGCGAACGGGUGAGCAAUACAUCGGAACAUUUCCUGUAGCGGGGGACAACCCCGAGAAAUCGGGGCUAAUACCGCAUACGAUCUACGGAUGAAAGUGGGGGACCGCAAGGCCCCACACUAUAGGAGUGGCCGAUGCCGGAUUAGCUAGUUGGUGGGGUAACGGCCUACCAAGGCGACGAUCCGUAGCUGGUUUGAGAGAACGACCAGCCACACUGGGACUGAGACACGGCCCAGACUCCUACGGGAGGCAGCAGUGGGGAAUUUUGGACAAUGGGCGAAAGCCUGAUCCAGCCAUGCCGCGUGAGUGAAGAAGGCCUUCGGGUUGUAAAGCUCUUUCAGCGGGGACGAAAUAGCGCGGGGUAACAUCCCGCGUCGAUGACGGUACCCGAAGAAGAAGGACCGGCUAACUACGUGCCAGCAGCCGCGGUA
Molecule: ribosomal RNA, 516 nt
Filed under: uncultured Pseudomonadota bacterium
Lineage: Bacteria; Pseudomonadati; Pseudomonadota
Description: bacterial SSU rRNA
Rfam family: Bacterial small subunit ribosomal RNA
Source: RNAcentral